CCCUUAGAUGUCCUGGGCCGCACGCGCGCUACACUGAGUGUCUGAGAUACGAGUCUGCCUGGUCCGGCAAGGUCUAGGUAAUCGCUAAAAGACACAUCAUGCUUGGUAUAGAUUAUUGCAAAUAUUAAUCUUGAACGAGGAAUUCCUAGUAAGCGCAAGUCAACAGCUUGCGUUGAUUACGUCCCUGCCCUUUGUACACACCGCCCGUCGCUACUACUGAUUGGAUGUUUAAGCGAGGUUCUCGAACUGCUAGCGACUUAGCUUCGGUGAGGUCGCAGUGUGGGAAGUGAACCUAGCUUUGGUGUCUAGAGGAAGUAAAAGUCGUAACA
This 329-nucleotide ribosomal RNA is filed under the name uncultured eukaryote. RNAcentral describes it as "partial 18S ribosomal RNA". It matches the Rfam family "Eukaryotic small subunit ribosomal RNA", at positions 1470 to 1796 of the family's 1831-position model. The record is from RNAcentral.